Molecule: non-coding RNA, 115 nt
Organism: Podospora appendiculata
Lineage: Eukaryota; Fungi; Ascomycota; Sordariomycetes; Sordariales; Podosporaceae
Source: the annotation of a GenBank genome assembly
UCUUCCGUAGUAUAGUGGUCAGUAUAUGAGCUUGUCAUUGAAUGCAUCUUCCUGAGCAAUCAGGAGGUUGUAAAGAUACUCGCUCGGGACCCGGGUUCAAUUCCCGGCGGGAGAG